This 497-nucleotide ribosomal RNA is filed under the name uncultured bacterium. Its description in RNAcentral is "partial 16S ribosomal RNA". It matches the Rfam family "Bacterial small subunit ribosomal RNA", at positions 28 to 507 of the family's 1533-position model. The record is from RNAcentral.
GAUGAACGCUGGCGGCGUGCCUAAUACAUGCAAGUCGAGCGAACGGACGAGAAGCUUGCUUCUCUGAUGUUAGCGGCGGACGGGUGAGUAACACGUGGAUAACCUACCUAUAAGACUGGGAUAACUUCGGGAAACCGGAGCUAAUACCGGAUAAUAUUUUGAACCGCAUGGUUCAAAAGUGAAAGACGGUCUUGCUGUCACUUAUAGAUGGAUCCGCGCUGCAUUAGCUAGUUGGUAAGGUAACGGCUUACCAAGGCAACGAUGCAUAGCCGACCUGAGAGGGAGAGCGGCCACACUGGAACUGAGACACGGUCCAGACGCCUACGGGAGGCAGCAGUAGGGAAUCUUCCGCAAUGGUCGAAAGCCUGACGGAGCAACGCCGCGUGAGUGAUGAAGUUCUUCGGAUCGUAAAACUCUGUUAUUAGGGAAGAACAUAUGUGUAAGUAACUGUGCACAUCUUGACGGUACCUAAUCAGAAAGCCACGGCUAACUACGUG